This 253-nucleotide ribosomal RNA is filed under the name uncultured bacterium. RNAcentral describes it as "partial 16S ribosomal RNA". It matches the Rfam family "Bacterial small subunit ribosomal RNA", at positions 524 to 776 of the family's 1533-position model. The record is from RNAcentral.
UACAGAGGUCUCAAGCGUUGUUCGGAUUCAUUGGGCGUAAAGGGUGCGUAGGCGGCGCGGUAAGUCGGGUGUGAAAUCUUGGAGCUUAACUCCGAAACUGCAUUCGAUACUGCCGUGCUUGAGGACUGGAGAGGAGACUGGAAUUUACGGUGUAGCGGUGAAAUGCGUAGAUAUCGAGAGGAACACCAGCGGCGAAGGCGGCCUGCUGGGCAGUUGCUGACACUGAGGCGCGACAGCGUGGGGAGCAAACAGG